UAUCAAUUACAGUAUUAUAAUGCAUGGUUGUAUCAUAACUAAUACACUAUAAUCAUGCAUUUCACUUACAUGCACACAAAGAGCUCCACAACUAGCAUUUUAGAAAGAUUAAAUUCAUAUACUGAUCUGUAUAUAAUUGCCUAUAAUUUGCAUUUCGGCACAUGUUGGCUCAUAUUUUUCUCAGCUAGCUCAUAUAUUCAUCACAACACUAACACACGUCUUGCUUUUUUCUUAUUGCAGAGGCUGUCUAGGUGCUGUUUUGGUGUUUCCCGUGGUGCACAUGUGUGCUGCCUUUCCUACAGUGCUCUGAACCUCUGACAUUAGCAAAUGAUUUGCUUUAUCCGAAAAUGCUAGGUGGUGGCGGCGGCGUUGUGUUCAGUGGCUAAGUGCAUUUUGGUUCGUUGGUCAUUGAAAAUAUUUCACCUGAUGAAGGUUCAACGAACAUCGAGUUGUGGUACCUGAUGUAGAUGCGGAGUGGAGAAAAGACCUGAGUAGGACUAGUGAUUUUCACCUUGCAGCCCAUCCUAUUCGAAAGUGUCUAUGCCUCGGACAUGACAAUUUGAUAAUUCAGAAUUUUUUGUAGUGAACAAACUUAAACAAUGAUGCAUCAAUGCCAAUUAUAUUGAUUGAUUUUAUGUUGGAACACGGAAAAAGGUUUAGCUCACCGCUUAAUCGGAAUGAAAUGUGGACCGAUGGGUAUUUGAACCUUGGUGAAGUGAUGGAUAUCAGUUGUAUUUUUUUAAUAAAAUUAUAGUUUACAUGAA
This is a long non-coding RNA of Triticum aestivum (bread wheat), 764 nucleotides long. RefSeq lists it as uncharacterized. The record is from RefSeq and is a predicted model, not a curated record. The transcript is spliced from 3 exons. Lineage: Eukaryota; Viridiplantae; Streptophyta; Magnoliopsida; Poales; Poaceae.